CCUACGGGAGGCAGCAGUGGGGAAUAUUGGACAAUGGGCGAAAGCCUGAUCCAGCAAUUCCGCGUGUGUGAAGAAGGCCUUCGGGUUGUAAAGCACUUUAGUGGGGGAAGAAACAGCUUGGCCACACCAAGCCUUGACGGUACCCCAAGAAUAAGCACCGGCUAACUCUGUGCCAGCAGCCGCGGUAAUACAGAGGGUGCAAGCGUUAAUCGGAUUUACUGGGCGUAAAGGGUGCGUAGGUGGCUAUUUAAGUCGGAUGUGAAAGCCCGGGGCUCAACCUCGGAAUUGCAUUCGAUACUGAGUGGCUAGAGUUCGGUAGAGGGCGGCGGAAUUUCCGGUGUAGCGGUGAAAUGCGUAGAUAUCGGAAGGAACAUCAAUGGCGAAGGCAGCCGCCUGGGCCUGGACUGACACUGAGGCACGAAAGCGUGGGUAGCAAACAGGAUUAGAUACCCUGGUAGUCCACGCCGUAAACGAUGAGAACUUGACGUUGGUUCGUUUUACGAAUCGGUGUCGCAGCUAACGCGAUAAGUUCUCCGCCUGGGGAGUACGGCCGCAAGGUUGAAACUUAAGAAGUAGUGCGUUGUGAGAGCGCGACGACGACGACGGAGGAGGAG
This 614-nucleotide ribosomal RNA is filed under the name uncultured bacterium. Its description in RNAcentral is "bacterial SSU rRNA". It matches the Rfam family "Bacterial small subunit ribosomal RNA", at positions 338 to 943 of the family's 1533-position model. The record is from RNAcentral.